GACGAACGCUGGCGGCGUGCCUAAUACAUGCAAGUAGGACGCAGUUGCGAACGGGUGAGUAACGCGUAGGUCACUACCUAUUAGAGGGUGCUAACUAUUGGAAACGAUAGCUAAUACCGCAUCCUCGUAGAUUGACCUGCGUUGUAUUAGCUAGUAGUGAGGGUAAUGGCCUACCUAGGCAACGAUACAUAGCCGACCUGAGAGGGUGAGCGGCCACACUGGGACUGAGACACGGUCCAGACUCCUACGGGAGGCAGCAGGGGGGAAUAUUGGACAAUGGGCGAAAGCCUGAUCCAGCCAUGCCGCGGGUGUGAAGAAGGUCUUCGGAUUGUAAAGCACUUUAAGUGGGGAGGCGUUACCAACAGAAUAAGCACCGGCUAACUACGUGCCAGCCGCCGCGGUAAUAC
Molecule: ribosomal RNA, 407 nt
Filed under: uncultured bacterium
Lineage: Bacteria
Description: partial 16S ribosomal RNA
Rfam family: Bacterial small subunit ribosomal RNA
Source: RNAcentral